Podarcis lilfordi (Lilford's wall lizard) is the source of this 445-nucleotide non-coding RNA. The record is from the annotation of a GenBank genome assembly. Lineage: Eukaryota; Metazoa; Chordata; Lepidosauria; Squamata; Lacertidae.
CCCUCUUAUCAUCAGAGAAAUGCUGGAGGGUAUGUGAUCCUGGCUGCUGAAGAUGGCUGGAAGGUCGUUUGUCCCGUCAGCUGGAUGAGCUGAUCUGCAGAGCCAAGAGGGCUCUCUGGGCCGUCUAUAACUGAGGAUCUGGGCUUCAGUUCCCCAACUGAAGCGGAAGGUAAGCCAGAGCAGUUGCUCUUUUGCUCAGCCUGUUAGAUAAAUCAACAGUGUGUCUAUGAGCGUUUAGGAAAAGAUGCUGCGAUUACUGAGACCCAGCAUAGGUUUCCCCAAAAUAAGUCAGCCAGACCAAUCUGAUUGAUUUUUUCUCUUUUCUAGACAGAGGUACAAACUUGGUGGAUCAGGGGAAUGCUGUGGACAUAGUGUAUCUUGAAUUCAGUGAGGCUUUUGACAAAAUCCCCCAUGAUAUUCUAGCGAGGAAGCUGUUGAAAUGGAG